Molecule: ribosomal RNA, 230 nt
Filed under: uncultured bacterium
Lineage: Bacteria
Description: partial 16S ribosomal RNA
Rfam family: Bacterial small subunit ribosomal RNA
Source: RNAcentral
UAAAGCGUGCGCAGGCGGUUUUGUAAGACUGUCGUGAAAUCCCCGGGCUCAACCUGGGAAUGGCGAUGGUGACUGCAAGGCUAGAGUUUGGCAGAGGGGGGUAGAAUUCCACGUGUAGCAGUGAAAUGCGUAGAUAUGUGGAGGAACACCGAUGGCGAAGGCAGCCCCCUGGGUCAAAACUGACGCUCAUGCACGAAAGCGUGGGGAGCAAACAGGAUUAGAUACCCCUG